UUUGGCCACCAUGAAAGCUUAUGGUGUGUCUGCUAACCCCAAGUAAUUAGAAAAGAACAUCAACUCAAGUCUCAGUGUCAAACAAUUGAUUGGAAGUACUCCAUUUUGUUUGCUACUUUACCCACAUGAUCUGAAUUUUUAUCCUUAGAAAAAUUGGCGAGGGGUUAGCCGUAGGCCCCUAUAAGUUGAUUAAUAAUGGAGCUCAAUUAAACUAGACUAACUAAAACCAAACUUCCCUAUUGU
This 243-nucleotide long non-coding RNA is filed under the name Elaeis guineensis (African oil palm). RNAcentral describes it as "long non-coding RNA (EGUI_LNC000545)". The record is from RNAcentral. Lineage: Eukaryota; Viridiplantae; Streptophyta; Magnoliopsida; Arecales; Arecaceae.